CAGGGGGUCAGGGGGUCAGGGGCUCCAACACAAUGGGCCUCAUGCAGCAACAUCCUCAUACAUUUCUCUCAUAGUUUCCCUUCAUUUUCUGUUAAAAAAUGAAAUAAGAGGAGUCAACUCCAGAUGCACCAAGCCGUCCAAAUCUACUCUUACCCUGUUGCGCUGAAUGAUGAAUUCCACUUUAUCAUAAAUUGGCGCGUGGCCGCUUGUUUAGUAUUACCACAAGUAACGCUAUAGAAGGGCAGGUGUUGUGUUGUGUGCAAAUGCAAAUGCACAUCUAGUAUCUAAGAGCAGUGUAUGUAAGCCAUUCAGAAGCUGAACACAUGCAGCAAUACCCAAUGGUUAUCCAAUCAUCAUAAUUACUCUGAUAUAUAAUAAUCUAAAUUUGAUUAUAUGAUAUUCAUGUGUUUUUUUAUGUUCCUCACAUUUAAAACAUAUGUUUCAUUAUGUUUCAACAAAUUUGGGACUGUAUCUUGUCAAGAGUGCUCUUGACCACUCGUAAACUGUUCUCCUACGUAAGAGAAAAGCCAAAAUAAGAAAACAUUGGUGAAUCCCAGAAAUCAGUGGGUACUGACAAAAUAACAACAAAUCGUGGAUGUGAACAUUUUAUCGUAUACCGCUUUCUGCAUUAGUCCCAACGUUUCAUAUACCUAUAUAAUAUAAUCUAUAUUAAGAUAAGUAAGACAGGCGAUCAGUUAGACAGGCGAUCAGUUAGACAGGUGUCAUGACUGGCUCACAGCCAUGGCAAAUAACAGAGAUUCACACAGAGCUUAACUCCAAAACGGUAUUACUUUAUUCGACUACGGUCAUAUGACCAGGCAAGACUACAGUGAGGUGGGGACAGUCAGUGGAUCAGUAGGGAUGUCAUGUAGGUAUGCAUGCUAGGGCAGUAGAUGGAAUGUUGUAUCUUAGCAAGUACGUAUCGAUGAGCGUAGCGCGUCCUUAAUCUCUCUCUGAAUAUCCGUCAGGAUCUCCAUGGCAAUCUCCUGAUGAAUCAGGGUGACUGGCUAUUAUAGUACUGGGAACACCGGUCCCAGGUGUUCCCAAUAACUGACGAGCCAACACACCUGCGGGUCAUCUGUAACACAACACAGAGACAGACAAACAGCCCGCCCAGCAACCCAAAAGAGGCGGGGUCGUCACACAGGUGAUCAGUUAGACAGGUGAUCAGUUAGACAGGCUGGUGAGGAGGGACAGCUGGAGCUUGGUGAUGUUUUGGGGUAGGAAAGUAGAUUUUGGAUUUGUUCAUCUCCAAGAAGAGUAGUUUGAUAAGGUGAACAAAUAUGGCAAAAACAUUAUCUACUUACCCACUGAUGAAACAGAAGCGUUGGAAUUUCUAGCUUAUAGGACAGGAAUUGACAGAAUAAUAUAGUUUAGAAACAGUGCUGCAUAUUUAUAUAUAUUCUUGCAUAGGGUGUUUACGUGUUCUAUAUGUCUUCUGUACAUAUUUUUUCUUCCUCAGAAUGAUGGCCUGGUCCGUCCUUCAGCUUUCAAACCGGUAGUGCCCAAGAGUUUUCACUCAAUGCAGAACCUGGUGUCCCCCGCCCAAAAGGGACCCGGCGGGGGGAGAGGCGGUGGC
Molecule: long non-coding RNA, 1579 nt
Organism: Clupea harengus (Atlantic herring)
Lineage: Eukaryota; Metazoa; Chordata; Actinopteri; Clupeiformes; Clupeidae
Source: Ensembl